This 542-nucleotide unclassified non-coding RNA is filed under the name Symphyotrichum subulatum. RNAcentral describes it as "partial external transcribed spacer". The record is from RNAcentral. Lineage: Eukaryota; Viridiplantae; Streptophyta; Magnoliopsida; Asterales; Asteraceae.
AUUUUGGGGUUGAACAUGGCUUUCGAUUGCUUGCUUCGCUUUUUAGCCUUGCGGGUGGUUGAUUGGCAUUUCGGCUCCGGGAAUGUCUACCGUAAAGGUGCAUGAGUGGUGUUUGGUUUGAUACGGGUGGUCGGCUCCCUGCUUGAGCAGGCACGGCCACGCGUGCAUUCCUUUUCAGUUGGGCGGCAAGGCUUGUAUCGUCUUGAUCGUUGAAGUGGGUUUCAUGUGUUGCAUACCUGAUCAAUGGCAUCGUUUUGAUCAAAAGCUGUCUUUUUCGUCUGACGUUGCGACCGCAUCGUCGGAUGAUUCAAGUAGCAUCAUCUUUGAUCCAUGCAGUUGAUGUUAAUUCGUUGACUAUUUGGCCCAUUGAUGGUGGCUUGGUCUCUCGAAUAUGGAAGCUAAAGUGGGCAUGGGAUCGCAAGAUCCUUUUAUUGCCCUUUCUGAGCGUUAUCGCUUCUCUUAAACGACUACCUUUCACGUAUGGCACGUCCCAGCGUGUUUUGGCUAUGUCGAAGAGGAAUGUUACCUGGUUGAUCCUGCCA